Molecule: ribosomal RNA, 364 nt
Filed under: Listeria fleischmannii
Lineage: Bacteria; Bacillati; Bacillota; Bacilli; Caryophanales; Listeriaceae
Description: bacterial SSU rRNA
Rfam family: Bacterial small subunit ribosomal RNA
Source: RNAcentral
UUUAAAGAGAGUUUGAUCCUGGCUCAGGACGAACGCUGGCGGCGUGCCUAAUACAUGCAAGUCGAACGAACCAAAGAGAAGCUUGCUUCUCUGUCGGUGAGUGGCGGACGGGUGAGUAACACGUGGGCAACCUGCCUAUCAGCGGGGGAUAACACUUGGAAACAGGUGCUAAUACCGCAUAAUAGAGAAGUUCGCAUGAACUUCUUUUGAAAGACGGUUUCGGCUGUCACUGAUAGAUGGGCCCGCGGUGCAUUAGCUAGUUGGUGGGGUAAAGGCCUACCAAGGCAACGAUGCAUAGCCGACCUGAGAGGGUGAUCGGCCACACUGGGACUGAGACACGGCCCAGACUCCUACGGGAGGCAGC